AUGGCGAGUUUGAUCCUGGCUCAGAGCGAACGCUGGCGGCGUACUUAACACAUGCAAGUCGAACGAGGAUCACGGUGUGAGCAAUCAUAUUGUGGUCCGAGUGGCGCACGGGUGAAUAACACGUGGGUAACCUGCCCUUGAGCCUGGGAUACCCCCUCGAAAGGGGGGCUAAUACCGGAUACGUUCCUUGGGUCGACAGAUCCGGGGAGGAAAGGUGGCGCAAGCUGCCGCUCUUGGAGGGGCUCGCGGCCUAUCAGCUAGUUGGCGGGGUAACGGCCCACCAAGGCUUUGACGGGUAGCUGGUCUGAGAGGACGACCAGCCACACGGGGACUGAGACACGGCCCCGACUCCUACGGGAGGCAGCAGUGGGGAAUUUUCCGCAAUGGGCGAAAGCCUGACGGAGUGACGCCGCGUGUGGGACGAAGGCCUUCGGGUCGUAAACCACUGUCAGUGGGAAAGAUGGGUGUCGGCGUGAUAACCGCCGGCAUUUGACGGUACCUGCAGAGGAAGCCCCGGCCAACUCUGUGCCAGCAGCCGCGGUAAGACAGAGGGGGCAAGCGUUGCUCGGAAUUACUGGGCGUAAAGGGCGCGUAGGCGGGAUGGCAAGUCGGUCGUGAAAUCCUUCGGCUCAACCGAAGAAGGGCGAUCGAUACUGCUGUUCUUGAGGAUUGCAGAGGAGACUGGAAUUCCCGGUGUAGCGGUGAAAUGUGUAGAGAUCGGGAGGAACACCGGUGGCGAAGGCGGGUCUCUGGGCAAUUCCUGACGCUGAGGCGCGAAAGCGUGGGGAGCAAACGGGAUUAGAUACCCCGGUAGUCCACGCUGUAAACGAUGACGACUAGGUGUGGGGGGGUUCAGUCCCUUCCGUGCCGCAGCUAACGCAUUAAGUCGUCCGCCUGGGGAGUACGGCCGCAAGGUUGAAACUCAAAGGAAUUGACGGGGGCCCGC
Molecule: ribosomal RNA, 946 nt
Filed under: Candidatus Rokubacteria bacterium GWA2_70_23
Lineage: Bacteria; Candidatus Rokuibacteriota
Description: bacterial SSU rRNA
Rfam family: Bacterial small subunit ribosomal RNA
Source: RNAcentral